This 433-nucleotide ribosomal RNA is filed under the name uncultured bacterium. Its description in RNAcentral is "partial 16S ribosomal RNA". It matches the Rfam family "Bacterial small subunit ribosomal RNA", at positions 29 to 507 of the family's 1533-position model. The record is from RNAcentral.
AGCGAACGCUGGCGGCAGGCCUAACACAUGCAAGUCGAACGAACUCUUCGGAGUUAGUGGCGGACGGGUGAGUAACACGUGGGAACGUGCCUUUAGGUUCGGAAUAACUCAGGGAAACUUGAGCUAAUACCGGAUGUGCCCUUCGGGGGAAAGAUUUAUCGCCUUUAGAGCGGCCCGCGUCUGAUUAGCUAGUUGGUGAGGUAAAGGCUCACCAAGGCGACGAUCAGUAGCUGGUCUGAGAGGAUGAUCAGCCACAUUGGGACUGAGACACGGCCCAAACUCCUACGGGAGGCAGCAGUGGGGAAUCUUGCGCAAUGGGCGAAAGCCUGACGCAGCCAUGCCGCGUGAAUGAUGAAGGUCUUAGGAUUGUAAAAUUCUUUCACCGGGGACGAUAAUGACGGUACCCGGAUAAGAAGCCCCGGCUAACUUCGUG